ACAAAAAAAAGAAAAUAUUUGCAAUACAAAAAAGCAACUACACUUGGUCUGAUCAAGAAUACAGAUCUCUCUAAAAGAAAUAAUACAGAGAACCCAGAUUUAUACGCCUUGCAAAGCAAAUUUUUCUUCCAUUAGAGGAAAUUUUUAUUCCCAGUGAAAACUUAAACAGAGCACUUGUGCACCACUAAAAUUGAAUGCUAACUCCAAAGAUUGAUCUUUUGAAAUAAUUUUGACUCAAAAAAUCACAAGACCUUAAGAACUAGCAUUAAGGCCUUUCUUUUCUUCUCCCCUGAAAGGGAAGUUAGAAAAGACCCAAACAAAUAAAUUUCACAUUUUAAUCCUCCUAAUUCCAUUUUUAGCUCUAAUUUAGUACGGAGUAUUAGUUAGUUAAUCCAGACAACCAAUUACAUACACAAUUGAAUCAUUUUCUAAGUCAGAAUUAAGUAAAGUCACCAACCAAUCAUUUCCUAAUGACUAUCAAAUCUUCAUAACCAACCACAAAGCUAGCCUGCCAAAGUCUUGUAGACUAGCAGCAGCAUAAUUCCUUACCAUUUUUUUCAACAACAAAAAAAUAAAAAUAAAAAUAAAAAUAAUAAAAAUAAAAACUAUAAAUAUAGCAUUUAAAGCUAGCUGAAAAGUUCUGAGCAAAAAUGAACUUUAAAAAAAAAAAAAA
Molecule: long non-coding RNA, 673 nt
Organism: Ipomoea nil (Japanese morning glory)
Lineage: Eukaryota; Viridiplantae; Streptophyta; Magnoliopsida; Solanales; Convolvulaceae
Exons: 2
Source: RefSeq, a predicted model, not a curated record